RNAcentral lists this ribosomal RNA (117 nucleotides) under Myotis davidii. Lineage: Eukaryota; Metazoa; Chordata; Mammalia; Chiroptera; Vespertilionidae. The record is from RNAcentral.
GUCUACGGCCAUACCACCCUGAACGCGCCCGAUCUCGUCUGAUCUCAGAAGCUAAGCAGGGUCGGGCCUGGUUAGUACUUGAAUGGGAGACCAGAGAGUAAGGGAGAGGGAUAGAGA